Small nuclear RNA from Prosopis cineraria, 160 nucleotides. RefSeq annotates it as U1 spliceosomal RNA. The transcript has a single exon. Lineage: Eukaryota; Viridiplantae; Streptophyta; Magnoliopsida; Fabales; Fabaceae. The record is from RefSeq and is a predicted model, not a curated record.
AUACUUACCUGGACAGGGUCAAUGGGUGAUCACCAAGGCCCAUGGCCUAGGCUGGUACUUUCCAUUGCACUUGGGAAAGGUGUCUGCCUAAGGUCUAUCCAAGUGAUAGAGCCUAUGUCAUAAUUUGUGAAAGUAGGGGCUGCGUUCGCGCGGUCCCUGU